Molecule: ribosomal RNA, 253 nt
Filed under: uncultured bacterium
Lineage: Bacteria
Description: partial 16S ribosomal RNA
Rfam family: Bacterial small subunit ribosomal RNA
Source: RNAcentral
UACGUAGGGUCCGAGCGUUGCCCGGAAUUAUUGGGCGUAAAGGGCGCGUAGGCGGCUGGGGAAGUCCGUGGUGAAAGCUCGUGGCUCAACUGCGAGUCGGCCAUGGAUACUCCUCGGCUCGAGCACUGUAGAGGCAGGUGGAAUUCCGGGUGUAGCGGUGGAAUGCGUAGAGAUCCGGAAGAACACCGGUGGCGAAGGCGGCCUGCUGGGCAGUUGCUGACACUGAGGCGCGACAGCGUGGGGAGCAAACAGG